AUCCAGACUCCUACGGGAGGCAGCAGUGGGGGAUAUUGCACAAUGGGGGGAACCCUGAUGCAGCGACGCCGCGUGGGUGAAGGAGUGCUUCGGCAUGUAAAGCCCUAUCGGCAGGGAAGAAGCAAGACGGUACCUGACUAAGAAGCCCCGGCUAACUACGUGCCAGCAGCCGCGGUAAUACGUAGGGGGCAAGCGUUAUCCGGAUUCACUGGGUGUAAAGGGAGCGUAGACGGCCAAGCAAGCCAGGGGUGAAAGCCCGGGGCCCAACCCCGGGACUGCUCUUGGAACUGCGCGGCUGGAGUGCAGGAGAGGUAGAUGGAAUUCCUAGUGUAGCGGUGAAAUGCGUAGAUAUUAGGAGGAACACCAGUGGCGAAGGCGGCCUGCUGGACGACAACUGACGGUGAGGC
Molecule: ribosomal RNA, 407 nt
Filed under: uncultured bacterium
Lineage: Bacteria
Description: partial 16S ribosomal RNA
Rfam family: Bacterial small subunit ribosomal RNA
Source: RNAcentral